GUGGGGAAUAUUGGACAAUGGGCGCAAGCCUGAUCCAGCCAUGCCGCGUGAGUGAUGAAGGCCUUAGGGUUGUAAAGCUCUUUCACCGGUGAAGAUAAUGACGGUAACCGGAGAAGAAGCCCCGGCUAACUUCGUGCCAGCAGCCGCGGUAAUACGAAGGGGGCUAGCGUUGUUCGGAAUUACUGGGCGUAAAGCGCACGUAGGCUGAUAUUUAAGUCAGGGGUGAAAUCCCGGGGCUCAACCCCGGAACUGCCUUUGAUACCGGGUAUCUUGAGUAUGGAAGAGGUCAGUGGAAUUGCGAGUGUAGAGGUGAAAUUCGUAGAUAUUCGCAGGAACACCAGUGGCGAAGGCGGCUGACUGGUCCAUUACUGACGCUGAGGUGCGAAAGCGUGGGGAGCAAACAGGAUUAGAAACCCCAGUAGUCC
This 425-nucleotide ribosomal RNA is filed under the name uncultured bacterium. RNAcentral describes it as "partial 16S ribosomal RNA". It matches the Rfam family "Bacterial small subunit ribosomal RNA", at positions 354 to 796 of the family's 1533-position model. The record is from RNAcentral.